CACUAAAGGAGAGCUUUGCGUCCUAUUAGCCUAGUUGGUAAGGUAAGAGCUUACCAAGGCGAUGAUAGGUAGCCGGCCUGAGAGGGUGGACGGCCACAAGGGGACUGAGAUACGGCCCUUACUCCUACGGGAGGCAGCAGUGGGGAAUAUUGGACAAUGGAGGGAACUCUGAUCCAGCAAUUCUGUGUGUGUGAAGAAGGUUUUAGGACUGUAAAACACUUUUAGUAGGGAAGAAAAAAAUGACGGUACCUACAGAAGAAGCAACGGCUAAAUACGUGCCAGCAGCCGCGGUAAU
RNAcentral lists this ribosomal RNA (295 nucleotides) under uncultured Sneathia sp. RNAcentral's name for it is "partial 16S ribosomal RNA". It matches the Rfam family "Bacterial small subunit ribosomal RNA", at positions 216 to 524 of the family's 1533-position model. Lineage: Bacteria; Fusobacteriati; Fusobacteriota; Fusobacteriia; Fusobacteriales; Leptotrichiaceae. The record is from RNAcentral.